Cynocephalus volans (Philippine flying lemur) is the source of this 199-nucleotide small nuclear RNA. RefSeq annotates it as U2 spliceosomal RNA. Lineage: Eukaryota; Metazoa; Chordata; Mammalia; Dermoptera; Cynocephalidae. The record is from RefSeq and is a predicted model, not a curated record. The transcript has a single exon.
AUCGCUUCUCGGCCUUUUGGCUAAGAUCAAGUGUAGUAUCUGUUCUUAUCAGUUUAAUAUAAAUGAAGUUGUAGUUUGGUGUAAUGUGUGAUUAGCACAGACUUUGGAAUCAGAUCAUCUUGGAUUUAAAUCUCUUUCUCACUUGUUGGCUGAAUGACCGGGAGCAAGUUAAUUAACUACUCUGAAUGUCAGUAUUCCC